AAUCAAAAAAUUAAACCAACAUCAUGCUUAAUCAAGGAGAUAAGUACAUUGGUAGUCUUGCAUUUAAUUUUAGAACAAAUGGCCAAAAUAAAUUAGUUGUGAAAAUAACCUCUUCUAUUGCAAGAGAAACAAAGAACCUAUAUUAACCUUAUUCAUUCAACCUUAACUAAAACUCCAUAUGCAAAAGUCUAAGCAAGACUACAACUGUAAAUGACACCAUUUAGUUUAAAAAUGAAAUCAAAAGUAUGACCAAAUAGUGGUCAAUGACUGAAAAGGGUUAGUUGGGCAACAAACAAAGGGUCAAACGAAGCUGCACGGUUCAAAAUAUAAUACAUGCUCGUUUCCCACAACCACACCACUGAUGGAUACUCCCUACAACCACACAUCUGAGGGCCAAGCAGAAUUAUAUCCUAAGCCUUGGCACAAGACUAAAGAUGCUUGGCGCAGUUUAAUUAACUAACACACAUUCAUGACAUUAUCCAAUAUUCAAAAGUAUACAAGAAUGAAACUGCUAACAUUUUCAAACACCAUUGCUUUCAUUCUAACUUCAUUUAUAGGAGUUUACAUGGCCUGAAAGUAACCUGGACAGCAGAAAGAAGAAGAAAAUUCAGCAAAUCAACUAUUUCCAGAUUACAGCAGAACAAGCAGCAAUAAAGCAACACAACAGCAACCAACAACUCCUAGACCAAAGAAAAUGGACCAGAUAUGACCAACAAAGCAAUUGAAACCAGAAAUGAGUCCCUCUGGAAAUUCCUCACAAGAUUCCUCUAUUUUCUUGAAGGUUUUGCACUUGAAAAAUCAUUCACUCUAGCUCAAAAUUUU
RNAcentral lists this long non-coding RNA (822 nucleotides) under Nicotiana benthamiana. Its description in RNAcentral is "long non-coding RNA (NBEN_LNC017945)". Lineage: Eukaryota; Viridiplantae; Streptophyta; Magnoliopsida; Solanales; Solanaceae. The record is from RNAcentral.